UUAAAUUGAAGAGUUUGAUCAUGGCUCAGAUUGAACGCUGGCGGCAGGCCUAACACAUGCAAGUCGAGCGGUAGCACAGAGAGCUUGCUCUCGGGUGACGAGCGGCGGACGGGUGAGUAAUGUCUGGGAAACUGCCUGAUGGAGGGGGAUAACUACUGGAAACGGUAGCUAAUACCGCAUAAUGUCGCAAGACCAAAGUGGGGGACCUUCGGGCCUCAUGCCAUCAGAUGUGCCCAGAUGGGAUUAGCUAGUAGGUGGGGUAACGGCUCACCUAGGCGACGAUCCCUAGCUGGUCUGAGAGGAUGACCAGCCACACUGGAACUGAGACACGGUCCAGACUCCUACGGGAGGCAGCAGUGGGGAAUAUUGCACAAUGGGCGCAAGCCUGAUGCAGCCAUGCCGCGUGUGUGAAGAAGGCCUUCGGGUUGUAAAGCACUUUCAGCGGGGAGGAAGGCGUUAAGGUUAAUAACCUUGCGAUUGACGUUACCCGCAGAAGAAGCACCGGCUAACUCCGUGCCAGCAGCCGCGGUAAUACGGAGGGUGCAAGCGUUAAUCGGAAUUACUGGGCGUAAAGCGCACGCAGGCGGUCUGUCAAGUCGGAUGUGAAAUCCCCGGGCUCAACCUGGGAACUGCAUUCGAAACUGGCAGGCUAGAGUCUUGUAGAGGGGGGUAGAAUUCCAGGUGUAGCGGUGAAAUGCGUAGAGAUCUGGAGGAAUACCGGUGGCGAAGGCGGCCCCCUGGACAAAGACUGACGCUCAGGUGCGAAAGCGUGGGGAGCAAACAGGAUUAGAUACCCUGGUAGUCCACGCCGUAAACGAUGUCGAUUUGGAGGUUGUGCCCUUGAGGCGUGGCUUCCGGAGCUAACGCGUUAAAUCGACCGCCUGGGGAGUACGGCCGCAAGGUUAAAACUCAAAUGAAUUGACGGGGGCCCGCACAAGCGGUGGAGCAUGUGGUUUAAUUCGAUGCAACGCGAAGAACCUUACCUGGUCUUGACAUCCACAGAACUUUCCAGAGAUGGAUUGGUGCCUUCGGGAACUGUGAGACAGGUGCUGCAUGGCUGUCGUCAGCUCGUGUUGUGAAAUGUUGGGUUAAGUCCCGCAACGAGCGCAACCCUUAUCCUUUGUUGCCAGCGGUCCGGCCGGGAACUCAAAGGAGACUGCCAGUGAUAAACUGGAGGAAGGUGGGGAUGACGUCAAGUCAUCAUGGCCCUUACGACCAGGGCUACACACGUGCUACAAUGGCAUAUACAAAGAGAAGCGACCUCGCGAGAGCAAGCGGACCUCAUAAAGUAUGUCGUAGUCCGGAUUGGAGUCUGCAACUCGACUCCAUGAAGUCGGAAUCGCUAGUAAUCGUAGAUCAGAAUGCUACGGUGAAUACGUUCCCGGGCCUUGUACACACCGCCCGUCACACCAUGGGAGUGGGUUGCAAAAGAAGUAGGUAGCUUAACCUUCGGGAGGGCGCUUACCACUUUGUGAUUCAUGACUGGGGUGAAGUCGUAACAAGGUAACCG
This 1510-nucleotide ribosomal RNA is filed under the name Klebsiella pneumoniae subsp. pneumoniae 1084. Its description in RNAcentral is "SSU rRNA". It matches the Rfam family "Bacterial small subunit ribosomal RNA". Lineage: Bacteria; Pseudomonadati; Pseudomonadota; Gammaproteobacteria; Enterobacterales; Enterobacteriaceae. The record is from RNAcentral.